Long non-coding RNA from Centruroides sculpturatus (bark scorpion), 723 nucleotides. RefSeq lists it as uncharacterized. The record is from RefSeq and is a predicted model, not a curated record. The transcript is spliced from 3 exons. NCBI's taxonomy places the organism in Eukaryota, Metazoa, Arthropoda, Arachnida, Scorpiones, Buthidae.
UAUACAUUAGAAAGUGCUGUAUUAAAGUACUUUCUUCAACUAUGAACAAUCAUACUGAAUGAAUGACCUCGACCUAAUCUUCCGAGUGGUUUUUCUGGAAAAACGAUGUUCUAUAAAGUGCAAAAGAAGAAAAACUAAGCAGAACACUUUUCUCUCGGCGAAUCGCCUACCUACAGGAUCAAGUUACUUCAACUACUACUUUAUACGUGAGCAAAAUGUAAAAAUCUUACAUAAUUGAGAAACCCUAUACUGUAGAAAAGAGUUAAAGUGCUGCAAUUAUUUCCAUCCAAAUCAUGGUGAUUCAUCUUCAAUUGCACACGUUCGACUUUAAUGAUGUCACGUUAAAGCUGUACUUGAUUCCGAUAGACAAAUGCGCAACUACUUUAAUGUUUUCGAGAAAAGAACUAAAUAUCUACGUCAUUUUGAUGAUAUAUUCAAAACAAACAAGUUGAUUAAAUGUUUCCCACUUCAUUUAAAAUCCUCCUUUUUCUCUAACGUAGCUACUUAAUCAGAUUUUUUUUUUAAAUAUAAAAUUCUAGAGAUGUUUUGUCUAUAGAAGUAAAAUGCAAAAAAAAACAAUUUUUUUUCACAUUUCGACACUUAAUUAUUUUCCUUGUUGUUUGACAUUGUAAUUCUGGUUUCGAAAAAUGAUUUUUUUUUUCUUUUCUUCUUUUUAAUGGCAGAACUAAAUUUCUACUUUUUACAACAAAUCUCUUUGAACAA